GGGAUCUUGCGCANGGGCGAANCCUGNGCAGCAACGCCGCGUGGGGGAUGAAGCUUCUCGGAGUGUAAACCCCUUUCGACCCGGACGAAUGCCCGCAAGGGUUUGACGGUACGGGUAUAAGAAGCCCCGGCUAACUACGUGCCAGCAGCCGCGGUAAAACGUAGGGGGCCAGCGUUGCUCGGAAUUACUNGGGCGUAAAGGGUCCGUAGGCGGUGUGGCAAGUCGGAAGUGAAAUCUCUGGGCUUAACCCAGAGGCUGCUUCCGAAACUGCUGUGCUAGAGUGCGAGAGAGGCGAGUGGAAUUGCGGGUGUAGCNGGUGAAAUGCGUAGAUAUCCGCAGGAACAUCCGAGGCGAAAGCGGCUCGCUGGAUCGCAACUGACGCUGAGGGACGAAAGCUAGGGGAGCAAACAGGAUUAGAUACCCUGGUAGUCCUAGCCCUAAACCAUCAGGACUUGGGGUUUGCCCUGUACGGGGCAAGUCCCGUAGCUAACGCGUUAAGUCCUGCGCCUGGGGAGUACGGUCGCAAGGCUGAAACUCAAAAAAAUUGACGGA
Molecule: ribosomal RNA, 552 nt
Filed under: uncultured bacterium
Lineage: Bacteria
Description: bacterial SSU rRNA
Rfam family: Bacterial small subunit ribosomal RNA
Source: RNAcentral